UCUGUAAUAAGAACUUUAUUUUUCAACAAUAACAAAGAACAAAAUAUUUCAAAAGCAUAUUCAUAUGUUACAUCGACUGUACAGAGACUGGAUGGUGUGGGCUUUACUCUAAAUGGAAGGAUGCUAACAAAACGAGGAAACUAGGAAUAUUUAAGUCAUCUCAUGAAAAAAUAUGAAAUAUUCCAUGUCUAGGUACAAAAUAGAAAAAGGAUUAAGCAGAUUAUGGACUGAUACUAUACCCUGAUACAGUGUUUAGGCCUCUUAACUGUCACAACAUCAUUUACAAACAAAACAUGACAACAUUGCCAUCUUUCAAUAGCUAAACCUCUUGGCCUCUUUGGUUCCAUGAUUAGGUAUAAUACAUUUGAACAGAAUUCAAUUUUGCUUCUAUAAAAAUAACUUUUAUUUUUUCAAUGGCAGUUUCUAUUCAUUUUUUUAUGACUAGUCACGCAACUCCUCAGUGCAAAUACUCUAAGAACCAUUCGCUUUGAAGAAUAAGCAAAAGAUUACAGUGGCAAGUGAGCCUAGGGUUGGGCAUCGGGCAGGAGGCUGGAGAAAACACGAGAUAAUGAGCAGUAUCAAGUCUCAGGUAUUUCUCUUUACCCAGCGAAUAAGAGAAAAAUGUGUAACGAGGUUGUGAAAUAACAGGUCGCUGAAGCGUUUAACCUGAAAAUAUCAAAGUGACUGAGGCCUGAAAGUGUGUCUCAAAGUGUGUUAUGGUGCCAAACAGGCCGCGAUGGGAAUUCCGCUGGGAUGCAUUUAUUUAAAAAUCACUAUUCGUGCAUCGCAUUUGGGUCAAAGUUAGCCCCAGUUAGCCUCUUUUUACAUUUCAGAUGAUUAUUUUUCUAAUGGCAGUAAAACCUUUUUAGAUGAAAGAGAAGAAAAAACUCCAAUAGAUUAUUGGAUUGAGCUGGUAUAGCAAUGUACGGAUGACAUUGAAACAAACUUGUACAUUAUAUGUGCAGUUGUAGAACGAAUGUUGGUGCUGUUUGGAACCACUGAUUCAUAUUUUACAUGCAAAGUAAACAGUGUGCUGUAUCAGUAAAACGUGCAUCUAUGCAGAAGUGGACCUUUUAUGUCAAUACAGCAAGAUUACUCCCUUCCAAUAUUAUUUUUGAACCAACACCAAUACAUCAAUUGACACCAAACUCUAAAAAGUUAUAUUGGUGGAAGGAGUACCAGGGGGUCCUUGGACAGUUUUCUCCAUCGUAAGAACCUUUGGACUUGAAGAUAUAUUAGCUUAAGCUGCUGUGUUGGUUCAAUUUUACUGUGCAACAUAUUCAAUAUUUAGCCAACCAAAUCUCAAAAAAUUGCAAGAGUAAAUACAUUUAUUUAAAUAAAAUUCCAAACAUUGGUUUUUACUAGAUACACACACCACAAAGCAGUCAGCAACAGCUGACUAGUGCCCAUGCUAUUGUUUGGUCUGUUCUUGCUGUUGGCAAAGUGAUACACUUCAUCACUCUGAGAAAAUGUAUUAACGUACAGUAAUUAGCCUAUUUUUGUGGGUACUCUGUAACACUCAGGUCCUUCGCUGCUAUGUAAAUGUCAUUUUAGGUAGGUGGUUGCCAGGCAGCGUGAUAGAGUCAUUAAAAUGUUGAAGUUUUGUGGCUACAAAUUAUGUUAAUGUUGAGAAAUAAAAAUAUGCAAUGCUUUUAAAAGCAUUUAUUUGUGCAUAUAUUCUAAAAAUUGGGCAUUUUCACAUGUUGAUAGGUAGUUGCUAGGCAACAUAAUAUAUAUACAUAUAUGGGCCUUCAGGCAUCUAAGCUAUAUCAGUGUACAAAGUUUGGUUGCUCAACUCCCGGUCAUGUUGAAGGAGUUUCCAAACAAACAAAUACACAGAGAUUUGGUGUGUGCAUUUUUAGGUUUGAGGAUACUGAAUAAGUCAAACUGUUGCCCUGCUUUUGUUGUUGUUGUUGUUGCUUCUUUAACCAUAAAUCAAAGAAAAAUAAAUAGUGUUUCCUUCUUAAAAGAGAAGGAAUGUUUU
Molecule: long non-coding RNA, 1984 nt
Organism: Astatotilapia calliptera (eastern happy)
Lineage: Eukaryota; Metazoa; Chordata; Actinopteri; Cichliformes; Cichlidae
Source: Ensembl